RNAcentral lists this ribosomal RNA (465 nucleotides) under uncultured bacterium. RNAcentral's name for it is "partial 16S ribosomal RNA". It matches the Rfam family "Bacterial small subunit ribosomal RNA", at positions 28 to 507 of the family's 1533-position model. The record is from RNAcentral.
GACGAACGCUGGCGGCGUGCUUAACACAUGCAAGUCGAACGGAAAGGCCCCUUUGGGGGUUCUCGAGUGGCGAACGGGUGAGUAACACGUGAGUAACCUGCCCUUGACUUCGGGAUAACUUCAGGAAACUGGGGCUAAUACCGGAUAGGAAUCCUUGCUUCAUGGUGGGGGUUGGAAAGCUUCGGCGGGUUUGGAUGGACUCGCGGCUUAUCAGCUUGUUGGUGUGGUAGUGGAUUACCAAGGCUGUGACGGGUAGCCGGCCUGAGAGGGCGACCGGCCACCUUGGGACUGAGAUGCGGCCCCGGCUCCUACGGGUGGCAGCAGUGGGGAAUAUUGCCCAAUGGGCGGCAGCCUGAUGCAGCAGCGCCGCGUGCGGGAUGACGGCCUUCGGGUUGUAAACCGCUUUCAGCAGGGGCGAAGCUUGUGGUGACGGUACCUGCAGAAGAAGCACCGGCUAACUACGUG